Molecule: ribosomal RNA, 253 nt
Filed under: uncultured bacterium
Lineage: Bacteria
Description: partial 16S ribosomal RNA
Rfam family: Bacterial small subunit ribosomal RNA
Source: RNAcentral
UACGGAGGGUGCAAGCGUUAUCCGGAUUCACUGGGCUUAAAGGGCGCGUGGGCGGGCUGGUAAGUCAGUGGUGAAAUCUCCAGGCUUAACUUGGAAACUGCCAUUGAUACUAUCAGUCUUGAAUACCGUAGAGGUCAGCGGAAUAUGUCAUGUAGCGGUGAAAUGCUUAGAUAUGACAUAGAACACCAAUUGCGAAGGCAGCUGGCUACACGAAUAUUGACACUGAUGCGCGAAAGCGUGGGGAGCAAACAGG